AUUGAACGCUAGCGGGAUGCUUUACACAUGCAAGUCGAACGGCAGCGCGGACUUCGGUCUGGCGGCGAGUGGCGAACGGGUGAGUAAUGUAUCGGAACGUGCCCAGUAGCGGGGGAUAACUACGCGAAAGCGUAGCUAAUACCGCAUACGCCCUACGGGGGAAAGCAGGGGAUCGUAAGACCUUGCACUAUUGGAGCGGCCGAUAUCGGAUUAGCUAGUUGGUGAGGUAACGGCUCACCAAGGCGACGAUCCGUAGCUGGUCUGAGAGGACGACCAGCCACACUGGGACUGAGACACGGCCCAGACUCCUACGGGAGGCAGCAGUGGGGAAUUUUGGACAAUGGGGGCAACCCUGAUCCAGCCAUCCCGCGUGUGCGAUGAAGGCCUUCGGGUUGUAAAGCACUUUUGGCAGGAAAGAAACGUCGCGGGCUAAUACCCCGUGGAACUGACGGUACCUGCAGAAUAAGCACCGGCUAACUACGUG
This 484-nucleotide ribosomal RNA is filed under the name uncultured bacterium. RNAcentral describes it as "partial 16S ribosomal RNA". It matches the Rfam family "Bacterial small subunit ribosomal RNA", at positions 30 to 507 of the family's 1533-position model. The record is from RNAcentral.